Molecule: ribosomal RNA, 1349 nt
Filed under: Enterobacter asburiae
Lineage: Bacteria; Pseudomonadati; Pseudomonadota; Gammaproteobacteria; Enterobacterales; Enterobacteriaceae
Description: bacterial SSU rRNA
Rfam family: Bacterial small subunit ribosomal RNA
Source: RNAcentral
GGGGGAUAACUACUGGAAACGGUAGCUAAUACCGCAUAACGUCGCAAGACCAAAGAGGGGGACCUUCGGGCCUCUUGCCAUCAGAUGUGCCCAGAUGGGAUUAGCUAGUAGGUGGGGUAACGGCUCACCUAGGCGACGAUCCCUAGCUGGUCUGAGAGGAUGACCAGCCACACUGGAACUGAGACACGGUCCAGACUCCUACGGGAGGCAGCAGUGGGGAAUAUUGCACAAUGGGCGCAAGCCUGAUGCAGCCAUGCCGCGUGUAUGAAGAAGGCCUUCGGGUUGUAAAGUACUUUCAGCGGGGAGGAAGGUGUUGAGGUUAAUAACCUCAGCAAUUGACGUUACCCGCAGAAGAAGCACCGGCUAACUCCGUGCCAGCAGCCGCGGUAAUACGGAGGGUGCAAGCGUUAAUCGGAAUUACUGGGCGUAAAGCGCACGCAGGCGGUCUGUCAAGUCGGAUGUGAAAUCCCCGGGCUCAACCUGGGAACUGCAUUCGAAACUGGCAGGCUAGAGUCUUGUAGAGGGGGGUAGAAUUCCAGGUGUAGCGGUGAAAUGCGUAGAGAUCUGGAGGAAUACCGGUGGCGAAGGCGGCCCCCUGGACAAAGACUGACGCUCAGGUGCGAAAGCGUGGGGAGCAAACAGGAUUAGAUACCCUGGUAGUCCACGCCGUAAACGAUGUCGACUUGGAGGUUGUGCCCUUGAGGCGUGGCUUCCGGAGCUAACGCGUUAAGUCGACCGCCUGGGGAGUACGGCCGCAAGGUUAAAACUCAAAUGAAUUGACGGGGGCCCGCACAAGCGGUGGAGCAUGUGGUUUAAUUCGAUGCAACGCGAAGAACCUUACCUACUCUUGACAUCCAGAGAACUUUCCAGAGAUGGAUUGGUGCCUUCGGGAACUCUGAGACAGGUGCUGCAUGGCUGUCGUCAGCUCGUGUUGUGAAAUGUUGGGUUAAGUCCCGCAACGAGCGCAACCCUUAUCCUUUGUUGCCAGCGGUUCGGCCGGGAACUCAAAGGAGACUGCCAGUGAUAAACUGGAGGAAGGUGGGGGAUGACGUCAAGUCAUCAUGGCCCCUUACGAGUAGGGCUACACACGUGCUACAAUGGCGCAUACAAAGAGAAGCGACCUCGCGAGAGCAAGCGGACCUCAUAAAGUGCGUCGUAGUCCGGAUUGGAGUCUGCAACUCGACUCCAUGAAGUCGGAAUCGCUAGUAAUCGUAGAUCAGAAUGCUACGGUGAAUACGUUCCCGGGCCUUGUACACACCGCCCGUCACACCAUGGGAGUGGGUUGCAAAAGAAGUAGGUAGCUUAACCUUCGGGAGGGCGCUUACCACUUUGUGAUUCAUGACUGGGGU